RNAcentral lists this ribosomal RNA (466 nucleotides) under uncultured bacterium. RNAcentral's name for it is "partial 16S ribosomal RNA". It matches the Rfam family "Bacterial small subunit ribosomal RNA", at positions 28 to 507 of the family's 1533-position model. The record is from RNAcentral.
GAUGAACGCUGGCGGCGUGCUUAACACAUGCAAGUCGAACGAUGAAGCCCAGCUUGCCGGGUGGAUUAGUGGCGAACGGGUGAGUAACACGUGAGUAACCUGCCCUUAACUCUGGGAUAAGCCUGGGAAACUGGGUCUAAUACCGGAUAGGAGCGUCCACCGCAUGGUGGGUGUUGGAACGAUUUAUCGGUUUUGGAUGGACUCGCGGCCUAUCAGCUUGUUGGUGAGGUAAUGGCUCACCAAGGCGACGACGGGUAGCCGGCCUGAGAGGGUGACCGGCCACACUGGGACUGAGACACGGCCCAGACUCCUACGGGAGGCAGCAGUGGGGAAUAUUGCACAAUGGGCGCAAGCCUGAUGCAGCGACGCCGCGUGAGGGAUGACGGCCUUCGGGUUGUAAACCUCUUUCAGUAGGGAAGAAGCGAAAGUGACGGUACCUGCAGAAGAAGCACCGGCUAACUACGUG